RNAcentral lists this unclassified non-coding RNA (1675 nucleotides) under Eurytemora carolleeae. RNAcentral describes it as "uncharacterized LOC111704812". The record is from RNAcentral. Lineage: Eukaryota; Metazoa; Arthropoda; Copepoda; Calanoida; Temoridae.
AACAUGUUUAUAUUCCGCUCUGGAAGGAAUUAUGGUUCCUAUAUUGUCAAUGAGAAACCAGACAUCAGUUUCAAGGAGAGGUUUGAGAACUCCUUUUCUCCUGGAAGUAAAGGGGCCUCCCACCUCCUUCUCCUGGAGGAAGGACCACAUCUCCUUCAGAAGGAAACCGUUCAAUACUUCUCCAAUGAAUAUCUUAGUUUUAUCGAGAACAAUGAGAAGAAGAUAAACGAGUUAAAUGUUGAAUCCCAAGAACCAAACCCUGAUGAAGUAACGACCCCUAACUCUCAAAUCAUUCCCUGGAAGCUCAUUGAAUCACGGAGAGAUCCGUCAGUGGAAGAUCAUACAGGAGAAGAUCUUUCAAGAGCUGAUCCAGCAAAAGAUAAUGAUCUUCCAGCAAAAGAUCAUAAUGAAACAGAUCCUGAAGACCCCGAUCAACCUUUGGAAGAAGAUCCUACUUACGCUGAUGACCCUACAGCAGAAGAUCCUGCAAAUGCUGAAGAUCCAGUCGUAGAAGAUCCUGAAAAUGCUGAAGAUCCUUCCGACCAAACUGCAGUUGAAAAAAACCUUGAAAAUGAUCUAAGAUCUGCAGAGAUUGGGGCAGCUGCUAUUGUCAUCACAGAGGCAGACGAGGAGAACAUUGAUCCGGAGAAGAACCACAAUCUUAACUUUGCCACUGUUCACAGAAAACUCAGGAAUGCUCCCCGAGUUCAAACUUCUCAGAAUGCGGCUCAGAAGAAAAUGAAAAAUGUUAAGGAUAUACACCGAGAGCAGACAUCCUCAAAAUCCACCUAUAAACCUAACCCGGAGAAGCAGUACCCGGAAAGAAAGAACGGAAAAGAUCUAUAUCAGGCUGGAGAAGGAGAAGAGGAAUUAAGAGCAGCAUCACUGACGCAGACUGAAGAUAACCCUGUUCACUUUAUUCAUUCAACUCCGAGAGAGCAGGAGUUGGAAGAUGAUAAUAGAACCCUGCAUACUCCUAAUAUUGCUGUUAGUUUGCCGGUGGACAGCUGUAUGUUUAGUGAGAUCCUAGAGGAGCUAGAUAUACCAGAGAACCCAGAGUCUAGUAAUAAACCAUCGGAGAAGAGAACUGUAACUUUUGAUCCUAUCGUUCAGAGUAUGUCGGCUAACGAAUCGACGGAGAAAAAGAAGAAAGGAAAAAGGUCGAACAGAAAGGAAGAUGCCAGGAACCACAAAUCUGAGGUUUUAGAUGUCAGGACGAAUAUCGGAGACAAGAUGACGAAUAUCGUAGACGUGAGGACGAAUAUCGGAGAAGAGAGGACGGAACAAGGACAGGACGAGACAAGAGCUGAGAAUGAACUGCAGCAGGGACAAAUAAAUAAAACCCUUGUGAUUCAUCAGACCAGGAGUCACGUGAUCAGCUUGGAGAACUCUAGAUACCCUGCUCUAGUUAUUCAUAAAUAUACAAGUGAUGGGAAGCCAAGCCACCUAACUCCAGAUGUUGGAGAAAUAGUGUUCCUUCAUGGCAGGGUUAACUUUGCCUGGUACUGUGCAGAGUACAGGGGAGCAACAGGGACUGUAGGUAGAUAUAAGUUCAAUUGACCCUUGAGAUACUGCAUGCCCAAUCUACGUUCUGCAAGGAUACCAUUUAGGAUUUAUCCCUGCAACUCAUGUCAAGAUCCUUCCAACAGAUUCCCCGCCGCAAGAUGUUGCUCAG